Molecule: ribosomal RNA, 706 nt
Filed under: uncultured bacterium
Lineage: Bacteria
Description: bacterial SSU rRNA
Rfam family: Bacterial small subunit ribosomal RNA
Source: RNAcentral
AGUAGAACGCUGAAGAGAGGAGCUUGCUCUUCUUGGAUGAGUUGCGAACGGGUGAGUAACGCGUAGGUAACCUGCCUUGUAGCGGGGGAUAACUAUUGGAAACGAUAGCUAAUACCGCAUAACAAUGGAUGACUCAUGUCAUUUAUUUGAAAGGGGCAAAUGCUCCACUACAAGAUGGACCUGCGUUGUAUUAGCUAGUAGGUGAGGUAACGGCUCACCUAGGCGACGAUACAUAGCCGACCUGAGAGGGUGAUCGGCCACACUGGGACUGAGACACGGCCCAGACUCCUACGGGAGGCAGCAGUAGGGAAUCUUCGGCAAUGGGGGCAACCCUGACCGAGCAACGCCGCGUGAGUGAAGAAGGUUUUCGAAUCGUAAAGCUCUGUUGUAAGUCAAGAACGAGUGUGAGAGUGGAAAGUUCACACUGUGACGGUAGCUUACCAGAAAGGGACGGCUAACUACGUGCCAGCAGCCGCGGUAAUACGUAGGUCCCGAGCGUUGUCCGGAUUUAUUGGGCGUAAAGCGAGCGCAGGCGGUUUGAUAAGUCUGAAGUUAAAGGCUGUGGCUCAACCAUAGUUCGCUUUGGAAACUGUCAAACUUGAGUGCAGAAGGGGAGAGUGGAAUUCCAUGUGUAGCGGUGAAAUGCGUAGAUAUAUGGAGGAACACCGGUGGCGAAAGCGGCUCUCUGGUCUGUAACUGACGCUGA